RNAcentral lists this ribosomal RNA (301 nucleotides) under uncultured bacterium. RNAcentral's name for it is "partial 16S ribosomal RNA". It matches the Rfam family "Bacterial small subunit ribosomal RNA", at positions 509 to 807 of the family's 1533-position model. The record is from RNAcentral.
CAGCAGCCACGGUAAUACGUAGGUGGCAAGCGUUAUCCGGAAUUAUUGGGCGUAAAGCGCGCGUAGGCGGUUUCUUAAGUCUGAUGUGAAAGCCCACGGCUCAACCGUGGAGGGUCAUUGGAAACUGGGAAACUUGAGUGCAGAAGAGGAAAGUGGAAUUCCAUGUGUAGCGGUGAAAUGCGCAGAGAUAUGGAGGAACACCAGUGGCGAAGGCGACUUUCUGGUCUGUAACUGACGCUGAUGUGCGAAAGCGUGGGGAUCAAACAGGAUUAGAUACCCGCGUAGUCCCUGUCUCUUAUAC